AAGCAAGAAUAGCACCAGCAGGCUGUGGCCCACACUGAGACGGGAUGGGCACCAUUUGUCUCCUUCAUUCCUGAAGCGCCCCAGCUUGGGCCAGGCACCCUUGUUGGGACGCUAUCAUUUGCAGCCGGGCUUGUGGGACCGCUUGGGCGCCAUUUUGACCACUAGAGAGAAGGCACAGCCAUGAGAGGAAAGGUGCCUGCAUCCCUACAUGACCACAAGCAAAGCCUAUCUGCUGACCACGAGCGAGA
RNAcentral lists this long non-coding RNA (248 nucleotides) under Homo sapiens (human). RNAcentral describes it as "HSALNT0366244". Lineage: Eukaryota; Metazoa; Chordata; Mammalia; Primates; Hominidae. The record is from RNAcentral.